RNAcentral lists this long non-coding RNA (293 nucleotides) under Phoenix dactylifera (date palm). Its description in RNAcentral is "long non-coding RNA (PDAC_LNC004343)". The record is from RNAcentral. Lineage: Eukaryota; Viridiplantae; Streptophyta; Magnoliopsida; Arecales; Arecaceae.
AGACAUGAAGUUGAGUUCUGUGUGGCAUCAGUGAAGAUUAAUUAUAUAAAUUUAAAACAAAUAAUUAAAUAAUGGUUGUUGUUGUAACUCCUUUUCAUGUCUGUAAUUUUCGCAGUUGGGGUUGAUCUAAACAUUCAAAUAUAAAAAACUGGAGGUAGUCAUCUCAGACAUUCUUCUUCUGAUCAGUCGCAUGUUCAAUGAAAUGUUAAAGUGGGCAGGGUCGUCCUUUUAAUAAUGGCACCUCUUUUGUCCCCCAAACUUUCCGAGUCAUUUAUGUGCAUUUGAUGACAUCG